RNAcentral lists this long non-coding RNA (653 nucleotides) under Cairina moschata (Muscovy duck). RNAcentral's name for it is "domestica (muscovy Duck (domestic type)) lncRNA (ENSCMMG00000002264.1)". Lineage: Eukaryota; Metazoa; Chordata; Aves; Anseriformes; Anatidae. The record is from RNAcentral.
GUCCAGGUGGCCACUUUAAGCUCGCAUUGCUGAGCACCAGGCUAAAAAAAGAUAGCUGUCAGGGAUGGAGAAUUAAUGUUGCUGGGUUGUUUGCUUUCUAAAAAAGGGAUUGUUACAGAUAGUAGUGAGUGAUUGAGUCAUGCAAGAUCUCUGAGGGAAUGACCGUCUCUUCAAAAAUACUAAGAAAGUAUUACUUCAAGGUAAAAGGAUGUGAACAUGAAGAGUAUGGCAACAAUUCAAGGAAAACAAGUUGAUGAACAUAAAGGUUCACAAAGAAGUUGAGGCAUCUUGAGGUGCCAAUAUGUGAUUGUGUGACAGCAGACAGGAAAAUGACUGCAAAUGAGAAUACGGAGGCGAAGAGGGUUGGAGUAAGAGUUCCAGAUGUUUCGACAGCUUACUAGAAAGAAAUGGACUGACGGAAUGCUUCUUAAUUUUCCAGUUUCAUCAAAGAGGUUUACAGAUACAAAACAAAGAAAUGAAGAUGUGUAAGACAAUACCUACAUUCAUCCUGCUGCUUACAGGGUAUUUUGUUCAUUUUAGCAUACAGUGUCACAAUUAAUGCAAGCUGCUGUGACAAACUAUGAACUCUUAAUGAGAUAAAAUGUUCAUCACUGUAAAUUGAGGUCACAUACCAGGUCACCAGUUCCUGAAAG